AUGGCAUUAUGUGUUCUUAUUCAGCUUGCUUGUGGAAAAACUGGUUCUCGUUCAGUUAUGUGUGUCAGUCUGAUAGAAGAUGGACACCCCUCUUCAAGUUGGUUUAUGGGCUUGCGGAGUGUGAGAAGGCCGGUUCAUAUUGACAUGGAGGAGGCACAGAGGUUUAUUGCUUCUUUUUGUGGGCUGGCCUUGAGGGGGAGACCAAAGCAAACAUCAACAUGUUCAAGUAGCUAUGCCAUUCGAUUUGAAGGACAAAGAGUUGAUCACAAAGGAGUAGCAUUCAGGAUAUAUACACAAGAGUAUAGAACCAAAUUAUAUGAUGUAAUUGACCACUAUUUCUAUUAA
Molecule: ribosomal RNA, 345 nt
Filed under: Triticum aestivum (bread wheat)
Lineage: Eukaryota; Viridiplantae; Streptophyta; Magnoliopsida; Poales; Poaceae
Description: partial small subunit ribosomal RNA
Source: RNAcentral